UGGGGAAUUUUGGACAAUGGGCGCAAGCCUGAUCCAGCCAUGCCGCGUGAGUGAAGAAGGCCUUCGGGUUGUAAAGCUCUUUCGGCCGGGACGAAAUCGCAUGCGUGAAUAUCGUGUGUGGAUGACGGUACCGGAAUAAGAAGCACCGGCUAACUACGUGCCAGCAGCCGCGGUAAUACGUAGGGUGCGAGCGUUAAUCGGAAUUACUGGGCGUAAAGCGUGCGCAGGCGGUUUCGUAAGCCAGAUGUGAAAUCCCCGGGCUUAACCUGGGAACUGCAUUUGGGACUGCGAGGCUAGAGUACGGCAGAGGGAGGUGGAAUUCCACGUGUAGCAGUGAAAUGCGUAGAUAUGUGGAGGAACACCGAUGGCGAAGGCAGCCUCCUGGGCUAGUACUGACGCUCAUGCACGAAAGCGUGGGGAGCAAACAGG
This 429-nucleotide ribosomal RNA is filed under the name uncultured bacterium. RNAcentral's name for it is "bacterial SSU rRNA". It matches the Rfam family "Bacterial small subunit ribosomal RNA", at positions 355 to 776 of the family's 1533-position model. The record is from RNAcentral.